GACUGCGUAGCUCAGUUGGCAGAGCAUUGGGCUAGUAUUCCAAAGGUCGUAGGUUCGAUUCCCACUGUGGUCA
Molecule: transfer RNA, 73 nt
Filed under: Paramuricea clavata
Lineage: Eukaryota; Metazoa; Cnidaria; Anthozoa; Malacalcyonacea; Plexauridae
Rfam family: tRNA
About the family: Transfer RNA (tRNA) molecules are approximately 80 nucleotides in length.
Source: Rfam by way of RNAcentral